GGGGAUAGCUCAGUGGUAGAGCAUGUGUUUAGCAUGCACAAGGUCCUGGGUUCAAUCCCUAGUACCUCCA
RNAcentral lists this transfer RNA (70 nucleotides) under Camelus bactrianus (Bactrian camel). It matches the Rfam family "tRNA". From Rfam's summary of the family: Transfer RNA (tRNA) molecules are approximately 80 nucleotides in length. Their secondary structure includes four short double-helical elements and three loops (D, anti-codon, and T loops). The record is from Rfam by way of RNAcentral. Lineage: Eukaryota; Metazoa; Chordata; Mammalia; Artiodactyla; Camelidae. RNAcentral also lists the same sequence under 2 other names.